GUGGGGAAUCUUCCACAAUGGACGAAAGUCUGAUGGAGCAACGCCGCGUGAGUGAAGAAGGGUUUCGGCUCGUAAAGCUCUGUUGUCGGGGACGAAUGUGCAGUAUUUGAAUAAAGUACUGUAAUGACGGUACCUGACGAGGAAGCCACGGCUAACUACGUGCCAGCAGCCGCGGUAAUACGUAGGUGGCAAGCGUUGUCCGGAAUUAUUGGGCGUAAAGGGAGCGCAGGCGGGAAGGUAAGUCGGUCUUAAAAGUGCGGGGCUCAACCCCGUGAUGGGAUCGAAACUAUCUUUCUUGAGUGCAGGAGAGGAAAGUGGAAUUCCUAGUGUAGCGGUGAAAUGCGUAGAUAUUAGGAGGAACACCAGUGGCGAAGGCGACUUUCUGGACUGUAACUGACGCUGAGGCUCGAAAGCCAGGGGAGCGAACGGGAUUAGAUACCCCGGUAGUCC
Molecule: ribosomal RNA, 450 nt
Filed under: uncultured bacterium
Lineage: Bacteria
Description: partial 16S ribosomal RNA
Rfam family: Bacterial small subunit ribosomal RNA
Source: RNAcentral